This 71-nucleotide transfer RNA is filed under the name Sarcophilus harrisii (Tasmanian devil). It matches the Rfam family "tRNA". From Rfam's summary of the family: Transfer RNA (tRNA) molecules are approximately 80 nucleotides in length. Their secondary structure includes four short double-helical elements and three loops (D, anti-codon, and T loops). The record is from Rfam by way of RNAcentral. Lineage: Eukaryota; Metazoa; Chordata; Mammalia; Dasyuromorphia; Dasyuridae.
AGCGGCAUGUUUUUAAUUCCUAAGAUCAGGCUUCCAACCUGCCAUAAUAGGUUCAAUUCCUUUUGCCGCUG